RNAcentral lists this ribosomal RNA (483 nucleotides) under uncultured bacterium. RNAcentral's name for it is "partial 16S ribosomal RNA". It matches the Rfam family "Bacterial small subunit ribosomal RNA", at positions 28 to 507 of the family's 1533-position model. The record is from RNAcentral.
GACGAACGCUGGCGGCGUGCUUAACACAUGCAAGUCGAACGCUGAAGCACAGCUUUUGUUGGGUGGAUGAGUGGCGAACGGGUGAGUAACACGUGAGUAACCUGCCCCCCUCUUUGGGAUAACGCCCGGUAACGGGUGCUAAUACUGGAUCUUCACUGGUCUUCGCAUGGGGGUUGGUGGAAAGGGUUUUUCUGGUGGGGGAUGGGCUCGCGGCCUAUUAGCUUGUUGGUGGGGUGAUGGCCUAACAAGGCGUUGACGGGUAGGCGGCAUGAGGGGGUGACCGGGCACAGAGGGACGGAGAUGAGGCCCAGGGUAGUACGGGAGGGAGAAGUGGGGAAUAUUGCCGAAUGGGCGCAAGACUGAUGCAGCGAGGGCGAGGGAGGCAUGGGGGCCUUCGAGUUGUGAACCUCUUUCGGACAAGCUGAAGCCGCAACAAUGGUUGUGGUGAGGGUAGUGGGUAAAGAAGCGCCGGCUAACUACGUG